CACUGGGAGAGGAAAGGUGGUGAUAUCAGGAGCACUGGGAGAGGAAAGGUGGUGAUAUCAGGAGCACUGGGAGAGGAAAGGUGGUGAUAUCAGGAGCACUGGGAG
Non-coding RNA from Salvelinus sp. IW2-2015, 105 nucleotides. The record is from RefSeq and is a predicted model, not a curated record. Lineage: Eukaryota; Metazoa; Chordata; Actinopteri; Salmoniformes; Salmonidae.